Molecule: ribosomal RNA, 548 nt
Filed under: uncultured bacterium
Lineage: Bacteria
Description: bacterial SSU rRNA
Rfam family: Bacterial small subunit ribosomal RNA
Source: RNAcentral
UGGGGAAUUUUGGACAAUGGGCGCAAGCCUGAUCCAGCCAUGCCGCGUGCGGGAAGAAGGCCUUCGGGUUGUAAACCGCUUUUGUCAGGGAAGAAAAGGUUCUGGCUAAUACCUGGGACUCAUGACGGUACCUGAAGAAUAAGCACCGGCUAACUACGUGCCGGCAGCCGCGGUAAUACGUAGGGUGCAAGCGUUAAUCGGAAUUACUGGGCGUAAAGCGUGCGCAGGCGGUUAUGCAAGACAGAGGUGAAAUCCCCGGGCUCAACCUGGGAACUGCCUUUGUGACUGCAUGGCUAGAGUACGGUAGAGGGGGAUGGAAUUCCGCGUGUAGCAGUGAAAUGCGUAGAUAUGCGGAGGAACACCGAUGGCGAAGGCAAUCCCCUGGACCUGUACUGACGCUCAUGCACGAAAGCGUGGGGAGCAAACAGGAUUAGAUACCCUGGUAGUCCACGCCCUAAACGAUGUCAACUGGUUGUUGGGAGGGUUUCUUCUCAGUAACGUAGCUAACGCGUGAAGUUGACCGCCUGGGGAGUACGGCCGCAAGGUUG